RNAcentral lists this ribosomal RNA (470 nucleotides) under uncultured bacterium. RNAcentral describes it as "SSU rRNA". It matches the Rfam family "Bacterial small subunit ribosomal RNA", at positions 26 to 518 of the family's 1533-position model. The record is from RNAcentral.
AGGACGAACGCUGGCGGCGUGCUUAACACAUGCAAGUCGAGCGGAAAGGCCCUUCGGGGUACUCGAGCGGCGAACGGGUGAGUAACACGUGAGCAACCUGCCCCUGGCUCUGGGAUAGCCUCCGGAAACGGGGAUUAAUACCGGACAUUCACUCUUCUGGGCAUCCUAGAGGGUGGAAAGUUUUUCGGCCGGGGAGGGGCUCGCGGCCUAUCAGCUUGUUGGCGGGGUAACGGCCCACCAAGGCGACGACGGGUAGCCGGCCUGAGAGGGCGACCGGCCACACUGGGACUGAGACACGGCCCAGACUCCUACGGGAGGCAGCAGUGGGGAAUAUGCGCAAUGGGCGGAAGCCUGACGCAGCGACGCCGCGUGGGGGAUGAAGGCCUUCGGGUUGUAAACCCCUUUCACCAGGAGCGAAUCAAGACGGUACCUGGGGAAGAAGCGCCGGCUAACUACGUGCCAGCAGCCGC